This 1620-nucleotide long non-coding RNA is filed under the name Panax ginseng (ginseng). RNAcentral describes it as "long non-coding RNA (PGIN_LNC018827)". Lineage: Eukaryota; Viridiplantae; Streptophyta; Magnoliopsida; Apiales; Araliaceae. The record is from RNAcentral.
UCCUCCAUCCACAUAGGUCCUGUAUGAUGAUAGUCAAUAGAGGUGUCCCCAAAAAAAUCCAUUUGAUUCCUGUAAAAGUUGGUUUCAAAUUUUCUUGGCUCAUAAACAUUGAAAACAAAUUCCUUUUACGUCAAUCUACCCACUACAACUAGUAAUCACCUCAGGUCCUCGGUCGGAUAAGAAUUUUGAUAAGUUCCCUUUUGUUAUCUUUUUAUAAACAGAUUUGUCAUCAACCAAAUUAAACAGGUGAAAAGAAAGAAAGAAAGAAAGAAAGAAAGAAAGAAAGAAAACAGAUACCCUCUGUAGAAACCCUUCAUGUGUUCAUUUAAAAUUCCAGAAAAGUUAAUCGUCAAAACUCUAUCCCCCAAAGGAAGAGCCUACUCAAAGACCAACACAAGUAUCUCAUCGUCACCGUCCACCACCACAUCACAAGGAAUAUAUUUCUGCUUUAAAAUCACAAAAACACCAUUUGUGACAAUGGAUGAAGUGUACAAUAUUACUCUAGUUGUUAUGAUAUUGAUUAUAAAAGCAUAUAUAAAUAAGUAGUAAUGAGUGAGAGUAGUAGUAGAGUUGAGUACUAAUUGGUUUCGAGAAUUAGUUAAUGAAACUUGAUUGGAUGAGCAGGUCAAGUGCGUUCAAGACGAGGUAGUGGGUGACAUCAAGUAGGGAGAGGUUGAUUAAUACAUUGCCAGAGAAGUUGGAGGCUGAAAGAUUGAGUUUAGAGUAAGAACAUAAUGUUUUGGGACUGCAAAUUUUGGAAGCCUGGUUUGCCCUUUGAACUCAUGCCUCCUCUGUUCUUCUUUAUCAACAUCAGCCAUAGCCAUGUUUAAGUUUAAAACUCUCUCUCUCUCUCACACACACACAUACACACGCUGAUCACUUUAUUGCAGUGGAUAUAUGAGUGAAGUCAAGUCAACUAUACUAAAGAAGGUGAUCCAUGGAGGAGCUUGGAGAUAUUUUCUUUGCUACUAAUUUUAGUUACAUUAAUAAUGUUUCAGUGGUUUCUUCUUUAGCAGCCUUUCUUUAAUAUUAAGACAUAUAUACGUAUAAUUGUUAUAUUGGACAUUAGCAAAUCCAAUGUUAGUUGUCUUAAUUUAAUAUACUCCCUCUCUGUUUAAAAAAGAUCAAUUGUAAAAAAAAAUUUAAAUUUUUUUAUGGUAGUAUAAAUUGACAUAAUAUUCUCAAUUUUAUUGUCAUGAUUUCAAAAUUCUGUUACUAUUACUAAACUAACAAACUAUUAUUUUCAAGGAUAAACAUGCAACAAAAAUAUAUAUUCUGUUUACAAAUGAGAGUUUUUCGGUGUGAAAUGGAGGGAAUAGUAUGUAUGCAUUUAAAUUACAACAGACAUAUUUUGCAUUUAAGAUGGAAAUAUUUUUCUUCAUAAAACAUAAAUAUGACAUAUAUAGGGAUCAGUUUGUUUAUGUGGGAAUCACCUUGUAUUCUCCUGUAUUUUCUCGAUUGCCAAUUAGACCAAGAGGAUGCCAUCAUCUCCAAAGACAAUCAGAAUAAGACCAUGCCGACACUCUUCAGGCUCUGGAAAAUAGAGGACCCCGUCCCCGUAUAAAUAUAUACACUUCACAAGAACGAGCUUGAGCAGGUACAAUUCCCCGACCAUUAAAG